RNAcentral lists this ribosomal RNA (497 nucleotides) under uncultured bacterium. RNAcentral describes it as "partial 16S ribosomal RNA". It matches the Rfam family "Bacterial small subunit ribosomal RNA", at positions 28 to 507 of the family's 1533-position model. The record is from RNAcentral.
GAUGAACGCUGGCGGCGUGCCUAAUACAUGCAAGUAGAACGCUGAAGGAAGGAGCUUGCUCUUUCCGGAUGAGUUGCGCACGGGUGAGUAACGCGUAGGUAACCUGCCUGGUAGCGGGGGAUAACUAUUGGAAACGAUAGCUAAUACCGCAUAACAGUAGAUGUUGCAUGAUAUCUACUUAAAAGGUGCAAUUGCACCACUACCAGAUGGACCUGCGUUGUAUUAGCUAGUUGGUGAGGUAACGGCUCACCAAGGCGACGAUACAUAGCCGACCUGAGAGGGUGAACGGCCACACUGGGACUGGGACACGGCCCAGACUCCUACGGGAGGCAGCAGUAGGGAAUCUUCGGAAAUGGACGGAAGUCUGACCGAGCAACGCCGCGUGAGUGAAGAAGGUUUUCGGAUCGUAAAGCUCUGUUGUAAGAGAAGAACGAGUGUGAGAGUGGAAAGUUCACACUGUGACGGUAUCUUACCAGAAAGGGACGGCUAACUACGUG